Molecule: ribosomal RNA, 116 nt
Organism: Oscillibacter sp. 1-3
Lineage: Bacteria; Bacillati; Bacillota; Clostridia; Eubacteriales; Oscillospiraceae
Source: Rfam
GUUGGUGCCGAUUAGGGCGAGGGUCCACCCGUUCCCAUUCCGAACACGGCAGUUAAGCUCGUUCCUGCCCACGAUACCUGGCUGGCGACGGCCCGGAAAAAUAGGUGGUGCCAACA